GCCUAAAGCGUCCGUAGCCGGCUAUGUUAGUUUUCGGUUAAAUCCAUGUGCUCAACGCAUGGGCUGUCGAGAAUACUGCAUAGCUAGGGAGUGGGAGAGGUAGACGGUACUCGGUAGGAAGGGGUAAAAUCCUUUGAUCUAUCGAUGACCACCAGUGGCGAAGGCGGUCUACCAGAACACGUCCGACGGUGAGGGAUGAAAGCUGGGGGAGCAAACCGGAUUAGAUACCCGGGUAGUCCCAGCUGUAAACUAUGCAAACUCAGUGAUGCAUUGGCUUGUGGCCAGUGCAGUGCCGCAGAGAAGUCGUUAAGUUUGCCGCCUGGGAAGUACGUACGCAAGUAUGAAACUUAAAGGAAUUGGCGGGGGAGCACCACAAGGGGUGAAGCCUGCGGUUCAAUUGGAGUCAACGCCAGAAAUCUUACCCGGAGAGACAGCAGAAUGAAGGUCAAGCUGAAGACUUUACCAGACAAGCUGAGAAGUGGUGCAUGGCCGUCGCCAGCUCGUGCCGUGAGGUGUCCUGUUAAGUCAGGUAACGAGCGAGAUCCCUACCUCUAGUUGCCACCAUUACUCUCAGGAGUAGUGGGGCGAAUUAGCGGGACUGCCGCAGUUAAUGCGGAGGAAGGAGGGGGCCACGGCAGGUCAGUAUGCCCCGAA
RNAcentral lists this ribosomal RNA (654 nucleotides) under uncultured archaeon. RNAcentral describes it as "bacterial SSU rRNA". It matches the Rfam family "Archaeal small subunit ribosomal RNA", at positions 508 to 1160 of the family's 1478-position model. The record is from RNAcentral.